CAGUGUACCCGCGGCAAGACGGAAAGACCCCGUGAACCUUUACUAUAGCUUGACACUGAACAUUGAGCCUUGAUGUGUAGGAUAGGUGGGAGGCUUUGAAGUGUGGACGCCAGUCUGCAUGGAGCCGGCCUUGAAAUACCACCCUUUAAUGUUUGAUGUUCUAACGUUGACCCGUGAUCCGGGUUGCGGACAGUGUCUGGUGGGUAGUUUGACUGGGGCGGUCUCCUCCUAAAGAGUAACGGAGGAGCACGAAGG
RNAcentral lists this ribosomal RNA (255 nucleotides) under Escherichia coli. RNAcentral describes it as "partial 23S ribosomal RNA". It matches the Rfam family "Bacterial large subunit ribosomal RNA", at positions 2062 to 2316 of the family's 2925-position model. Lineage: Bacteria; Pseudomonadati; Pseudomonadota; Gammaproteobacteria; Enterobacterales; Enterobacteriaceae. The record is from RNAcentral.